GACGAACGCUGGCGGCGUGCUUAACACAUGCAAGUCGAACGGAAAGGCCCUGCUUUUGCGGGGUGCUCGAGUGGCGAACGGGUGAGUAACACGUGAGUAACCUGCCCUUGACUUUGUGACAACUUCAGGAAACUGGGGCUAAUACCGGAUAGGAGCUCCUGCUGCAUGGUGGGGGUUGGAAAGUUUCGGCGGUUGGGGAUGGACUCGCGGCUUAUCAGCUUGUUGGUGGGGUAGUGGCUUACCAAGGCUUUGACGGGUAGCCGGCCUGAGAGGGUGACCGGCCACAUUGGGACUGAGAUACGGCCCAGACUCCUACGGGAGGCAGCAGUGGGGAAUAUUGCACAAUGGGCGGAAGCCUGAUGCAGCAACGCCGCGUGCGGGAUGACGGCCUUCGGGUUGUAAACCGCUUUCGCCUGUGACGAAGCGUGAGUGACGGUAAUGGGUAAAGAAGCACCGGCUAACUACGUG
Molecule: ribosomal RNA, 468 nt
Filed under: uncultured bacterium
Lineage: Bacteria
Description: partial 16S ribosomal RNA
Rfam family: Bacterial small subunit ribosomal RNA
Source: RNAcentral